AGCUUUGCGCAGUGGCAGUAUCGUAGCCAAUGAGGUUUAUCCGAGGCGCGAUUAUUGCUAAAAAAAAAAAAUAGUGAACAAAAUAAACUGAUGAAUAAAUUAGAAAGCGGGGCAUGGAAAUAUUGAUCAGACUGACAAAUC
Small nuclear RNA from Molossus molossus (Pallas's mastiff bat), 141 nucleotides. RefSeq annotates it as U4 spliceosomal RNA. Lineage: Eukaryota; Metazoa; Chordata; Mammalia; Chiroptera; Molossidae. The transcript has a single exon. The record is from RefSeq and is a predicted model, not a curated record.